UUUUUUUUAUUUUUAAUAGAGAUGGGGUUUCACCAUAUUGGCCAGGCUGGUCUCAAACUCCUGACCUUAGGUGAUCUGCCCGCCUCGGCCUCCCAAAGUGCCGGGAUUACAGGCGUGAGCCGCCGCGCCCGGCCCCAUCGGGAUCCUUUCUUUUCCAGAAGUCUAUUUUCAAGUUAAUCACUUGUUUGUUUUUAAGUGAGAAGCUACACCUUGAAUGUUUUCACUACAUAAGACCGUGUUUGAAUGUCAACCAGAAUAGUUACGUUUCUCACAGGUUGCAUUUCAUUCCUGAGGACUUCAGUCUCUCUCUCCCUCUCUCGCUGUCUCUCUUGGAUGGCACCUGCCCCGCGUGUGGUCACAGUGAGUACAUGUUCCCGCUCCCCACGCACGCCAAUGCCUUGGGCAACGUGCCACCAACCUCCUAAGUGUCACUUCCCUCCCAAGACUACCAGGUGCUCCAAGGGACCCCCACCUCACUGGGGCCACCUCUCCGGCCUAGUCCAGCACAGCCCAGCCUCAGCUGCCCCCUUCCCCAUCCUGGCUCCCCACUGCUGCGUCCUCCAGCCUCAGCAGAAACGCCUCCUGCCCUGGAAGCCUUCCAGCUCACUGGGACAGGCUGGACCCCAGGGAAAGGUUCUGUGGGCCCUGCUCUUCACCAGUGGCCACUCAGAGCUGCAGCCCCUUCCUCAGCUGUGCAGAGUUUGUUCAUCAUUGGCCUCGUGUGUGGCCUGGGGUCUCCGUUCACCUCUGUGUCCCCAGCAUCCCCACACAGAGGCCUGGUGGAUGAAGGGGGCUGAAUGAAUGAAUGAGUGAAUGGAUGGAUGGAUGAAUGAAUGGAUGGAGCUGGUGCCCCUGCCCUUCCUUGACACCUCCCUGGGCUGGGCGUUCUGCCUGGGCUGACGCCCUAGCACAGAGCUCUCGUUCUUCUCAGAGUGACAGGGACGUUCACUCUAUGAUUCAGUUCGGCACUGAACAGCUGUGGCUCGAGUCAUCACAAUCCAGGUGCCAAUGUCCUAUUUUCCUAAAGCAGCCGUAACUACCAGAGGGCAGAACCUUCCACUGUCCUCCCCUGAAACUCCUUGUUCCUUCUCUGUCUUAUCUGGUCACAUUUGACCUUUGCCCUCCCCAUUGGACAGCAGGGGUCUUGGCCCCAGCCCAGAGGCUGCCCUCAGGCUGCCCAGACCAAGGCUUGACCUCACGCUGGGCACGACCUGAAUCAGUACUUUGAGGCUGAUGGAGGGCGUGCCAGCAUUUCUACACAUUUUUAUGCUCGGCUUCAGGGAAAGUUAUCUCCAAAUAACAGCUGAGGCACCAGUCAUGGGAGAUUGUGGAAACCCAUCCACAGCUUCCCAGAAUAAACUCUCCCAGGGUCUCACCACAGAGCGAGUGCCCAUGGUGGCUUUCGAGAGGCGUUCAGGUCCUCAAGCCUGCAUUCUGGCUGUGAUCAUGAUUUCUAAAACUAAAUUAUUGUCCAUGUCUAUGGAAUGGAUUCUGUAAAGAGGAGGAAAGAAAAGAGAGAGGCAAAGGCAUUUUCUUCAUAGAGGAAAAGGCCUACACAGAGGUUGGAAGGAGCGAUAGGGCUCCAGGUUCCCAUCUCCAUCCACGGUGUUGAGGACAUGGCCGUGCGGGGGUUGGUUGUGCUCUGCAGCUGGCAGAGGCAGCCCUGGUCAACUUGGGCAGGAAGUGGGCAGCCCAACCUCAGGGGCACUCCAUCAGCCCUGACCCUUCUGCAGAAGCGGAGAUUCCCUUUGCUUGGAGGUUGACAUCCUAGAAGCAGGGCUAAUAAAAGUGACUGCAUCAGAGAACAGAGGCCACACUGAGAGACUGGAGGGCACGCAGCUUUUGCAGGCUAAAGGGGACACAGGGUCAACGGGGCUCAACUUGCCCCAGAGCCAAAGGCCAGGGCCACACUGGCCUCCUGACCUCAGCUGGGAAGAGCAAGCCUUUCUAGAAGAAGAGCUCCAUGCACGUGAGCAUCUAAGUGACUCUUCCUUUUUAUUUCAUGGCAUCGAGAUCGGAACAGUAACAGUGAGAAAUGAAUUCCCAUUGAAGGCCUCCUGCUCGGCAAAGCUCUGCGGAAGGCUGGCGUGGGUUUAUGCACUCCCGCAGAAUUGCUGUUACCCACAAAGACUCUGGGGUUUAUAACUGUAUUUACCUAUUGAAGCCGAAUAACUAUGUAUGGGGUGCUCCUUUUGGAGAUGGGUUAUUCUGGGAGCCCAACGAAACUGAUGGACUUACCCACGCACUCAGGGAAGAAAGAGAACUUGAACACAGCCGCAGCCAGGCAGAGGAAGGUGGGGCAGUCAAGGGUAGGAACGUGAACCUCGAACCCAGCUCAUCCCACCAUGACUUUGGACUUCUGGCUGCCAGACCGAGACAACAAAUGUCUGCUGCUAUAAGCCACCCAAUUCGUGGAAUUUUUGUUUGUUUGUUUGUUUUGAGCUGGAGUCUCCCUCUGUCGCCCAGGCUGGAGUGCAGUGGCGUGAUCUCAGCUCACUGCAAGUUCCACCUCCUGGGUUCACGCCAUUCUCCUGCCUCAGCCUCCCGAGUAACUGGGACUACAGGUGCCCGCCACCAUGCCCGAUAAUUUUUUAUAUUUUUAGUAGAGAUGGGGUUUCACCGUGUUUGCCAGGAUGGUCUGGAUCUCCUGACUUCGUGAUCCACCUGCCUCAGCCUCCCAAAGUGCUGGGAUUACAGGAGUGAGCCACUGCGCCCGGCCCAACUCAUAGUAAUUUGUGAUGACCACACCAGGAACCUAACACAGUUGUGGUUAUUUGCUAAGGAGUUGCUUAGUGGAGAAGACGCUAAUGGCUUCAAGGAGGAAGUGAGGAUGAGGCCACAUCAUUUUGUCAGCAACACAGAGGUUGGAAGGAGGGAUAGGGCUCCAGGUUCCCAUCUCCAUCCACGGUGUUGAGGACAUGGCCGUGCGGGGGUUGGUUGUGCUCUGCAGCUGGCAGAGGCAGCCCUGGUCAACUUGGGCAGGCAGCUGUCUCGUGCCUGGCAUGUGCCAGAUACCUGGGCAAAACCUUCAAGGAAAAGAAACCUCUCUGCCCUCAAGCCUGCAGUUUGGAUUUACCUGCAGAAAACAGGAGGUGAUCCCUAAAGGAAGGGGUCCUUUCAAAUUUGGGGUGCAUUUGAUGGCCACCCAGGUCCCUCUGUCCUCUGACACUUCCUGCCAUCCCCAAUCCUGACAAUGGGCUACAAUGACCUUGCAGAGCCCAGCCCCGCAGCCUCUGGAUGACCAGAUGGCACCUGACCCCACCAAGGAGGCAGAGGGGAGGCCCCCACGGUGCACCCUAACAUGGCGCCAAGGAGCCUUUUCUGUGGAGCUUGCCUCUCCUUCGCCUGGGGUGGGGUCUUGGUCUCGGGCCCCGGCAAUGAGCUCCUCCAGCAGCAGCUGGAAAACAAGACACUGUGCUGGGCGAUCUGUCGAUGCCAUUGGAUGGGACUAUGGCUGCCGCCAGGCUCCAACAAAUUGUGAAAUACAGAUUGUUAGCAGCUUGC
Molecule: long non-coding RNA, 3504 nt
Filed under: Macaca fascicularis (crab-eating macaque)
Lineage: Eukaryota; Metazoa; Chordata; Mammalia; Primates; Cercopithecidae
Description: lncRNA (ENSMFAG00000050883.1)
Source: RNAcentral